RNAcentral lists this non-coding RNA (30 nucleotides) under Rattus norvegicus (Norway rat). Lineage: Eukaryota; Metazoa; Chordata; Mammalia; Rodentia; Muridae. The record is from RNAcentral.
UGGUCAAAAAUCAUCAGUACAUGUGCCAUC